CCGCAUGGAAGGUGGUAGGAAACUGCUUCGUCAAGCCCUCAUAAAUCUAUCCAGAGCGCCACUGCCAUACCCAAUUCUUUGAGUUUCUCUCUUUACUUUUAAUUGUCUGCCUCCUAUCUAUGACCACUCAACCAGUCUCUUCUUCUCCUUCUUCUUCGUCUUCUUUCACUCAUGGAGAGCACGUGAGUUUGUUCUUACUGUAUCGUUUUAUUAAGAAAGAAAAUCAAUACAAAAUCAGAUAAGAUUCUCUGUGCUUC
Molecule: long non-coding RNA, 257 nt
Filed under: Prunus dulcis (almond)
Lineage: Eukaryota; Viridiplantae; Streptophyta; Magnoliopsida; Rosales; Rosaceae
Description: sRNA ncRNA
Source: RNAcentral